RNAcentral lists this unclassified non-coding RNA (395 nucleotides) under Cyperus albescens. Its description in RNAcentral is "partial contains ETS1f and partial 18S rRNA gene, ETS1f, and partial 18S rRNA gene". Lineage: Eukaryota; Viridiplantae; Streptophyta; Magnoliopsida; Poales; Cyperaceae. The record is from RNAcentral.
GGUGCCUCAAAUUCGGUUGCCUGUGCGGUCUUACCGUCGUUGGUAGCAUGUUCCCUCUAUUUCGUAUUAUGCUUGCUCCAUGGAUGUUAUGCAUCGAUGGACAGCCGAGGUGUUGGCAAAUCCCGUGCGCUGCGAUGCACUUUGUGUGUCGGAACUGCUUAUCGGAUGUUUGUCGGGUCUCAUGGAUGUCAGUCCAUACGUUGAGCGGUCUGCGGGCUUCAAGCGUGCAGGCUCAUGGUGUUUGCCCGUACACAAAUUGUUGCUGAUGGUUACUUGACAUGUUGCGUUCCUUCGGGAUUCAUGUCGAUGAAACAUCAUCAACAAAUUUGUGAGCGUGUGCAUAUACUUACUGACUCGAAUGAUGUGCGAUUGUCGGUAUGCAUUGUCACGGGGUG